This 494-nucleotide ribosomal RNA is filed under the name Trochalus sp. 836030. RNAcentral describes it as "partial 16S large subunit ribosomal RNA". It matches the Rfam family "Bacterial large subunit ribosomal RNA", at positions 1844 to 2600 of the family's 2925-position model. The record is from RNAcentral. Lineage: Eukaryota; Metazoa; Arthropoda; Insecta; Coleoptera; Scarabaeidae.
UUUAAGGUCUAAUCUGCCCAAUGAGGGAUUAAAUGGCCGCGGUACUUUGACCGUGCAAAGGUAGCAUAAUAAUUAGUUUUUUAAUUGAAAGCUGGAAUGAAUGAUUGAACGAGAAAAUAGCUGUCUCAAUUUGAUUUAAUUAGAAUUUUAUUUUUAAGUAAAAAAGCUUAGAUUUUUUUGAAAGACGAGAAGACCCUAUAGAGUUUUAUAAUUUUGUUAUAAUUAAUUAUUUAGUUUUAUUAAUUUAAUUUUAAUGGAAUUAUUUCAUUGGGGUGAUGGAAAAAUUUAAUUAACUUUUUUUUUUAUUUUCAUGAAUUAAUGUUUUGAUGAUCCGAUAAUUUCGAUUAUAAGAUUAAAUUACCUUAGGGAUAACAGCGUAAUUAUUUUUUAGAGUUCUUAUCGAAAAAAUAGAUUGCGACCUCGAUGUUGGAUUAAAAUAAAUAUUUGGUGUAGGGGCUAAAUAAUUGGGUCUGUUCGACCCUUAAAAUUUUACA